UCCAGCAGCCGCGGUAAUACGUUCCCGGGCCUUGUACACACCGCCCGUCACACCACGAGAGUUUGUAACACCCGAAGUCGGUGAGGUAACCUUUUGGAGCCAGCCGCCUAAGGUGGGAUAGAUGAUUGGGGUGAAGUCGUAACAAGGUAGCCGUAUCGGAAGGUGCGGCUGGAUCACCUCCUUUCUAAGGAAGCAUCAAGAAUUUCGGUUCUUGAUGAACAAUGAGGCGCUUUUGUUUUGUUCAGUUUUGAAUGAGUA
This 258-nucleotide unclassified non-coding RNA is filed under the name uncultured Enterococcus sp. RNAcentral describes it as "partial contains 16S ribosomal RNA, 16S-23S ribosomal RNA intergenic spacer, and 23S ribosomal RNA". The stretch from base 1 to 184 matches the Rfam family "Bacterial small subunit ribosomal RNA", at positions 1348 to 1533 of the family's 1533-position model. The record is from RNAcentral. Lineage: Bacteria; Bacillati; Bacillota; Bacilli; Lactobacillales; Enterococcaceae.